RNAcentral lists this non-coding RNA (29 nucleotides) under Rattus norvegicus (Norway rat). Lineage: Eukaryota; Metazoa; Chordata; Mammalia; Rodentia; Muridae. The record is from RNAcentral.
AGCCAGAACAUGCGGAUGAUCAGAUGUGC